CAUAAGCUAUCAGCAGAAGGUACUGUACUUAAAUUUAAAAUCUCAUCCAGUUUUAAAUUCCUUAAUCUCACUGGCACCCACACACAUCCCCAUUCACCCCUACAUGCACACAAAAGUUUUAAAUUCCUCAUUCUCACUCUCACUGCAGUGAAAGGGACUUUUGUACCCUUGGUUCGGAAGGACACAUUUCCCCAUCCCACUAUAUUUCAGAUUGGCAAAUACCCUGAGCUGAUGAUGGUGUUUUUAAACAUUCCACCUUUUCAUGCAUGUGCAGGUCGAGUGUACAGUAGUGAAAACCACACGCAGCGUCUUCCCUGCAGAACCUCGAGACAGCUCGGACAUUGUUCAGCUCCCCAGCCCACUCCCACUCGCCUGUCUCAUCUCUCGCUUGAAAACUGGCACUCUAUUUUAAAAACAAAAUUACAUUCCCACGCGGCACUGGAGUGAAAGUUGGGCUGUAUUCUCUGGGAAUAGCUCAGUUCCCAGUGCAUAAAGUAAAACCAUAGCAAAUGGGAGACGUGUGUGGCCUCCAAAUGACAGGAGAAAGUCAAACACAAAGGGGAUGUUUGGGGAAAGAGCUGCAGUCUCAGAUUUGAUCUUUAUAAAAUGGAGUGGUUCUUUCACAAUCAUGCUCCAAGGCAAAUUUAGAACCCACAUUUUGAGAGUCAAUUUGUAAACAUCAAGUCUUGUCAGAGGCAGCAGAGGCUGGGCACUUCACAUUUCCAUAGUUUCAGCGAGAACUUAGUGGUGGCGGCAGGUCUUCUCUCCCCUCAUCCCGUCAGCCUGAUUAAGUUCUGAGAGACCUCUGCUGAGGGAGCCAUUCAGAAGCUCACAGUUUUGCUUUGAAAAAUACACACACAUACACACGUGUCAAACCAUAAAACAUGUCCUCGGUUGCUCCUGGAGGAGCCAGUUCCUGCUGGGUUUUGCAUAUUAAAGUAUUCACACAAAAGUCAACUGAGACAUAUACAUAUUGCUAUAUGUUCCGGUCUUAUAAUAAAAAGUGAGUUUAAAAGAUCCA
Molecule: long non-coding RNA, 1021 nt
Filed under: Monodelphis domestica (gray short-tailed opossum)
Lineage: Eukaryota; Metazoa; Chordata; Mammalia; Didelphimorphia; Didelphidae
Description: lncRNA (ENSMODG00000037118.1)
Source: RNAcentral